This 488-nucleotide ribosomal RNA is filed under the name uncultured bacterium. RNAcentral's name for it is "bacterial SSU rRNA". It matches the Rfam family "Bacterial small subunit ribosomal RNA", at positions 30 to 514 of the family's 1533-position model. The record is from RNAcentral.
AUUGAACGCUGGCGGCAUGCCUUACACAUGCAAGUCGAACGGCAGCGGACCUUCGGGUGCCGGCGAGUGGCGAACGGGUGAGUAAUAUAUCGGAACGUACCUUUCAGUGGGGGAUAACGUAGCGAAAGUUACGCUAAUACCGCAUAUUCUGUGAGCAGGAAAGCAGGGGAUCGCAAGACCUUGCGCUGAUUGAGCGGCCGAUAUCAGAUUAGCUAGUUGGUGAGGUAAAGGCUCACCAAGGCGACGAUCUGUAGCGGGUCUGAGAGGAUGAUCCGCCACACUGGAACUGAGACACGGCCCAGACUCCUACGGGAGGCAGCAGUGGGGAAUAUUGGACAAUGGGGGCAACCCUGAUCCAGCGACGCCGCGUGUGUGAAGAAGGCCUGCGGGUUGUAAAGCACUUUUAGUGGGGAGGAAGGUCUGCGACCUAACACGUCGUGGAAUUGACUUAACCCACAGAAAAGCACCGGCUAACUCUGUGCCAGCAC